GCCCCGGUGGCUCAGCCUGGCGGAGCGGCCGCUUGGUAAGCGGCAGGCCGCGGGUUCAAACCCCGCCCGGGGCUCCA
Molecule: transfer RNA, 77 nt
Filed under: Palaeococcus helgesonii
Lineage: Archaea; Methanobacteriati; Methanobacteriota; Thermococci; Thermococcales; Thermococcaceae
Also listed under: 3 other names
Description: tRNA-Thr
Rfam family: tRNA
About the family: Transfer RNA (tRNA) molecules are approximately 80 nucleotides in length. Their secondary structure includes four short double-helical elements and three loops (D, anti-codon, and T loops). Further hydrogen bonds mediate the characteristic L-shaped molecular structure. tRNAs have two regions of fundamental functional importance: the anti-codon, which is responsible for specific mRNA codon recognition, and the 3' end, to which the tRNAs corresponding amino acid is attached (by aminoacyl-tRNA synthetases). tRNAs cope with the degeneracy of the genetic code in two manners: having more than one tRNA (with a specific anti-codon) for a particular amino acid; and 'wobble' base-pairing, i.e. permitting non-standard base-pairing at the 3rd anti-codon position.
Source: RNAcentral